GGUCAUGAGUGCCAGCGCGAAACCCCGGUUUGCUGGCCGGCAACCCUCCACUCGCGGUGGGGUGCCCCGGGUGAAGACCAGGUUCGCCUCCACCAGGAGAACGGACAAGCGCGGGUC
Molecule: non-coding RNA, 117 nt
Filed under: Arthrobacter rhombi
Lineage: Bacteria; Bacillati; Actinomycetota; Actinomycetes; Micrococcales; Micrococcaceae
Description: SAM-IV sequence
Rfam family: SAM (S-adenosyl methionine) riboswitch aptamer
About the family: SAM-IV is a mRNA element that regulates gene expression via direct sensing of S-adenosylmethionine (SAM or AdoMet). SAM-IV riboswitches share conserved nucleotide positions with the previously described SAM-I riboswitches sequence analysis and molecular recognition experiments suggest that SAM-I and SAM-IV riboswitches share similar ligand binding sites, but have different scaffolds.
Source: Rfam by way of RNAcentral